UUUCCAUAUUGAUGUUCUCACAGGAAUUGCAAGAAUUGUUCUUCAGCAUCAUAAUCUCCCAAAUUCACACAUCCCCCCUUAGAAAUGUAGUAAUGGGAAUAUACCUAGUAACAUAAACUGUGGUUCUCAGUCUGUUAGCUAUUCAGAUUUUUCACAAUGAUUUUUGUUACGUAAUGAGAAAUAACCUACUAAGUAAAUAGGACCCCUUGCUCAAAGAAGUGUGAAAAGAGCAUUUCCUUGCUUUCCUGACAUGCUAGGAAGCAAGGCAAGCCUAAGGAUUCUUCUCUGCUUAUUCUUUUUUCUCCCUAGGCACAGUUCGAGUGACAACUGCUGCCCAUCUUGCACUGCUGGUGGCUAAAAACAUCUCCUUCUUUCCCAGCAAUGUGGAGCAAUUUUCUGAGGGCAACAUUGAUGUGUGGUGGAUUGUGCAUGAUGGGGGGAUGCUUAUGCUACUACCAUUCCUACUGAAACAGCACAAGGUGUGGCGAAAGUGCAGCAUACGGAUCUUCACAGUAGCCCAAUUAGAAGACAACAGUAUCCAAAUGAAGA
This 549-nucleotide small RNA is filed under the name Pan troglodytes (chimpanzee). Its description in RNAcentral is "retained intron". Lineage: Eukaryota; Metazoa; Chordata; Mammalia; Primates; Hominidae. The record is from RNAcentral.